UGGGGAAUUUUGGACAAUGGGCGAAAGCCUGAUCCAGCAAUGCCGCGUGUGUGAAGAAGGCCUUCGGGUUGUAAAGCACUUUUGUCCGGAAAGAAAUCCUUGGCUCUAAUACAGUCGGGGGAUGACGGUACCGGAAGAAUAAGCACCGGCUAACUACGUGCCAGCAGCCGCGGUAAUACGUAGGGUGCAAGCGUUAAUCGGAAUUACUGGGCGUAAAGCGUGCGCAGGCGGUUUGCUAAGACCGAUGUGAAAUCCCCGGGCUCAACCUGGGAACUGCAUUGGUGACUGGCAGGCUAGAGUAUGGCAGAGGGGGGUAGAAUUCCACGUGUAGCAGUGAAAUGCGUAGAGAUGUGGAGGAAUACCGAUGGCGAAGGCAGCCCCCUGGGCCAAUACUGACGCUCAUGCACGAAAGCGUGGGGAGCAAACAGGAUUAGAUACCCUGGUAGUCCACGCCCUAAAACGAUGUCAACUAGUUGUUGGGGAUUCAUUUCCUUAGUAACGUAGCUAACGCGUGAAGUUGACCGCCUGGGGAGUACGGUCGCAAGAUUAAAACUUAAAUGAAUUGACGGGGUCAUAGCUGUUUCC
Molecule: ribosomal RNA, 585 nt
Filed under: uncultured bacterium
Lineage: Bacteria
Description: partial 16S ribosomal RNA
Rfam family: Bacterial small subunit ribosomal RNA
Source: RNAcentral